This 483-nucleotide ribosomal RNA is filed under the name uncultured Acidobacteriota bacterium. RNAcentral describes it as "bacterial SSU rRNA". It matches the Rfam family "Bacterial small subunit ribosomal RNA", at positions 49 to 514 of the family's 1533-position model. The record is from RNAcentral. Lineage: Bacteria; Pseudomonadati; Acidobacteriota.
UAACACGUGCAAGUCGAACGCGACUUAGACUUCGGUCUAGGUUGAGUGGCGAACGGGUGAGUAACACGUGGGUGACCUACCUUCGAGUGGGGGAUAACGUCCAGAAAGGGACGCUAAUACCGCAUAACAUCCUGCCUUUGAACAGGUGGAGAUCAAAGCCGGGGAUCGCAAGACCUGGCGCUUGAUGAGGGGCCCGCGCCUGAUUAGCUAGUUGGUGGGGUAAUGGCUCACCAAGGCGACGAUCAGCAUCCGGCCUGAGAGGGCGGACGGACACACUGGGACUGAGACACGGACCACACUCCUACGGGAGGCAGCAGUGGGGAAUUGUUCGCAAUGGGCGCAAGCCUGACGACGCAACGCCGCGUGGAGGAUGAAGGUCUUCGGAUUGUAAACUCCUGUUGCUCGGGACGAAAGGCUUCGACCUAAUACGUCGAAGUCUGACGGUGCCGAGUGAGGAAGCCCCGGCUAACUCUGUGCCAGCAG